This 660-nucleotide ribosomal RNA is filed under the name Streptomyces exfoliatus. RNAcentral describes it as "bacterial SSU rRNA". It matches the Rfam family "Bacterial small subunit ribosomal RNA", at positions 324 to 994 of the family's 1533-position model. Lineage: Bacteria; Bacillati; Actinomycetota; Actinomycetes; Kitasatosporales; Streptomycetaceae. The record is from RNAcentral. RNAcentral also lists the same sequence under 1 other name.
ACACGGCCCAGACUCCUACGGGAGGCAGCAGUGGGGAAUAUUGCACAAUGGGCGAAAGCCUGAUGCAGCGACGCCGCGUGAGGGAUGACGGCCUUCGGGUUGUAAACCUCUUUCAGCAGGGAAGAAGCGAAAGUGACGGUACCUGCAGAAGAAGCGCCGGCUAACUACGUGCCAGCAGCCGCGGUAAUACGUAGGGCGCGAGCGUUGUCCGGAAUUAUUGGGCGUAAAGAGCUCGUAGGCGGCUUGUCACGUCGGUUGUGAAAGCCCGGGGCUUAACCCCGGGUCUGCAGUCGAUACGGGCAGGCUAGAGUUCGGUAGGGGAGAUCGGAAUUCCUGGUGUAGCGGUGAAAUGCGCAGAUAUCAGGAGGAACACCGGUGGCGAAGGCGGAUCUCUGGGCCGAUACUGACGCUGAGGAGCGAAAGCGUGGGGAGCGAACAGGAUUAGAUACCCUGGUAGUCCACGCCGUAAACGGUGGGCACUAGGUGUGGGCGACAUUCCACGUCGUCCGUGCCGCAGCUAACGCAUUAAGUGCCCCGCCUGGGGAGUACGGCCGCAAGGCUAAAACUCAAAGGAAUUGACGGGGGCCCGCACAAGCGGCGGAGCAUGUGGCUUAAUUCGACGCAACGCGAAGAACCUUACCAAGGCUUGACAUACACCGG